RNAcentral lists this ribosomal RNA (500 nucleotides) under uncultured bacterium. RNAcentral describes it as "partial 16S ribosomal RNA". It matches the Rfam family "Bacterial small subunit ribosomal RNA", at positions 30 to 523 of the family's 1533-position model. The record is from RNAcentral.
AUUGAACGCUGGCGGCAUGCCUUACACAUGCAAGUCGAACGGCAGCACGGGAGCAAUCCUGGUGGCGAGUGGCGAACGGGUGAGUAAAGUAUCGGAACGUGCCCAGUCGUGGGGGAUAACGUAGCGAAAGUUACGCUAAUACCGCAUACGAUCUAUGGAUGAAAGCGGGGGAUCGCAAGACCUCGCGCGAUUGGAGCGGCCGAUAUCAGAUUAGGUAGUUGGUGGGGUAAAGGCUCACCAAGCCGACGAACUGUAGCUGGUCUGAGAGGACGACCAGCCACACUGGGACUGAGACACGGGCCAGACUCCUACGGGAGGCAGCAGUGGGGAAUUUUGGACAAUGGGCGAAAGCCUGAUCCAGCCAUGCCGCGUGCAGGAUGAAGGCCUUCGGGUUGUAAACUGCUUUUGUACGGAACGAAAAGGUUUGGCCUAAUAAGCUGAGCUCAUGACGGUACCGUAAGAAUAAGCACCGGCUAACUACGUGCCAGCCGCCGCGGUAA